AAAAAAGGUCUCCCCAGUGCUAGCUGCCGAAGCACCCAGAUAAGAGCUGGACGGAGGCUAAAGCGGCAGCCCCAGCUUCGCGCCCCGCCCAGUCCCUUUCCCCUGCUGGGGAUCCCCCCUCUUCCCCGCCCACCCCUUACCCGCAUGCAGCCCAGCGCCCUAUGCUAGCCCUCCCCCUCCCCCCCUGCUGGAGCGGGGCGCCGCCGGGGGAGGAGGGGGAAUCGGCUGCGGGUCCUUGGUGUUUCCAGCACCCAGUUUCCCUUCAAGCCGGGUCGCGAUGUACGACUGUAUGGAAACGUUUGCCCCGGGUCCGCGACGGCUGUACGGGGCGGCCGGGCCCGGGGCCGGCUUGCUGCGCAGAGCCACCGGCGGCUCCUGUUUCGCCGGACUUGAAUCUUUUGCCUGGCCGCAACCCGCCAGCCUGCAAUCGGUGGAGACACAGAGCACCAGCUCAGAGGAGAUGGUGCCCAGCUCGCCCUCGCCCCCUCCGCCUCCUCGGGUCUACAAGCCAUGCUUCGUGUGCAAUGACAAGUCCUCUGGCUACCACUAUGGGGUCAGCUCUUGUGAAGGCUGCAAGAGGCCCUCUCUCUUUCCCUCAACUCCAGGGCUUCUUUCGCCGAAGCAUCCAGAAGAACAUGGUGUACACGUGUCACCGCGACAAAAACUGUAUCAUCAACAAGGUGACCAGGAAUCGCUGCCAGUACUGCCGGCUACAGAAGUGCUUCGAAGUGGGCAUGUCCAAGGAAGCUGUGCGAAAUGACCGGAACAAGAAGAAGAAAGAGGUGAAGGAAGAAGGGUCACCUGACAGCUAUGAGCUGAGCCCUCAGUUAGAAGAGCUCAUCACCAAGGUCAGCAAAGCCCAUCAGGAGACUUUCCCCUCGCUCUGCCAGCUGGGCAAGUAUACCACGAACUCCAGUGCAGACCACCGCGUGCAGCUAGAUCUGGGGCUGUGGGACAAGUUCAGUGAGCUGGCUACCAAGUGCAUCAUCAAGAUCGUGGAGUUUGCCAAGCGGUUGCCUGGCUUUACAGGGCUCAGCAUUGCUGACCAGAUCACUCUGCUCAAGGCUGCCUGCCUAGAUAUCCUGAUGCUGCGUAUCUGCACAAGGUACACCCCAGAGCAGGACACCAUGACCUUCUCCGAUGGGCUGACCCUGAACCGGACCCAGAUGCACAAUGCCGGCUUCGGGCCCCUUACAGACCUUGUCUUUGCCUUUGCUGGGCAGCUCCUGCCCCUGGAGAUGGAUGACACCGAGACAGGGCUGCUCAGCGCCAUCUGCCUCAUCUGCGGAGGUGCGGGGGCGCCCCCUGGCGUCUGCUCAGUGCUCAGUCUCCUUUCCCACCACUCCAUGCGGGAUCUGUCUGGGAGGGGGCGUGGAGGACCCAGUGGUCUCUUCUGCUGGUAAUUCUUGCACCUGGCCCCAUCCAGAGAGUUCUGAAACCCUGUACAGGCUUCCCAAAAGGCCGGUUGGGGAUCAGCCAUCUGUCACUGUGUCUUCCCCAUCUCUUCCUUCCCCUCUCACUCCAGUAUACUUGUCCCCAUAGACCGCAU
Molecule: small RNA, 1549 nt
Filed under: Pan troglodytes (chimpanzee)
Lineage: Eukaryota; Metazoa; Chordata; Mammalia; Primates; Hominidae
Description: retained intron
Source: RNAcentral